This 2460-nucleotide long non-coding RNA is filed under the name Coturnix japonica (Japanese quail). RNAcentral describes it as "lncRNA (ENSCJPG00005002374.1)". Lineage: Eukaryota; Metazoa; Chordata; Aves; Galliformes; Phasianidae. The record is from RNAcentral.
UAUUUUCAGUCCCCAUUUGGGUUCUGGUCCCUAUUUUCAGUCCCUAUUUGGGUUCCAGUUCUGUUCCCUAUUUCCAGUCCCUAUUUUCAGUUCUCAUUUGGGUUCUGGUUCUGCUCCCUAUUUUCAGACCCAAUUUUCAGUCCCUAUUUUGGGUUCUGGUUCUGUUCUGGACUUUCAGAUCCAAUUUUCAGUCCUUAUUUUGGGUUCUGGUUCUGGUCCCUAUUUCCAGCCCUGGUUUUGGGUUCUGGUUCUGGUCCAAUUUUCAGUCCCCAUUUGGGUUCUGGUCCCUAUUUUCAGCCCUGGUUUUGGGUUCUGGUUCUGGUCCAGAUUUUCAGUCCCUAUUUUCAGUCCCUAUUUGGGUUCUGGUUCUGGUCCCUAUUUCCAGCCCUGGUUUUGGGUUNNNNNNNNNNNNNNNNNNNNNNNNNNNNNNNNNNNNNNNNNNNNNNNNNNNNNNNNNNNNNNNNNNNNNNNNNNNNNNNNNNNNNNNNNNNNNNNNNNNNNNNNNAUUUUCAGUCCCCAUUUGGGUUCUGGUUCUGAUCCUCAUUUUCAGCCCCAAUUUUCAGUCCCUAUUUGGGUCCUGGUUCCGUUCUGUAUUUUCAGGUCCAAUUUUCAGUCCCCAUUUGGGUUCCGGUUCUGGUCCCUAUUUCCAGUCCCUAUUUCCAGUCCCUAUUUGGGUUCUGGUUCUGGUCCCCAUUUUCAGUUCCCAUUUGGGUUCUGGUCCCUAUUUCCAGUCCCUAUUUCCAGUCCCUAUUUUCAGUCCCUAUUUGGGUUCCGGUUCUGUUCCGUAUUUUCAGAUCCAAUUUUCAGUCCCCAUUUGGUUCUGGUUCUGAUCCCCAUUUUCAGCCCAUUUCCACUCCCGAGGUUCGGUUCCGGUUCGGUUCUGAUUCCCUCUCCCCAUUCCCAUCCCCAUUCACUUCCCCUCCCCCGGUUCGGUUCCGGUUCCGGUUCGUCUCCCCAUCCAUCCCAUCCCCAUUCCCUCCCGCUGUUCGGUUCCGGUUCCGGUUCGGUUCCGGUUCCGGUUCGGAUCCCCAUCCCAUUCCAUCCCCAUUUUGAGCCCCAAACUUCGGUUCUGGUUCCGGUUCGGUUCCCCAUUUCCAGGCCCUCGGUUCGGUUCCGGUUCCGGUUCGGAUCCCCAUUCCAUCCCCAUUUCCAGUCCCGUGGUUCGGUUCCGGUUCCGGUUCCAAUUCCCUCUCCAUCCCCAUUCCCUCCUGCAGUUCGGUUCCGGUUCCGGUUCGGUUCCGGUUCGGUUCCAGUUCGUCUCCCCAUUCCAUCCCCAUUCCCUCCUCCGGUCCUGUUCCGGUUCGGUUCCGGUUCCAGUUCGGUUCCGGUCCCUCUCCCCAUCCCAUCCCCAUUCCCCCUCCCGCUGUUCGGUUCCGGUUCGGUUCCGGUUCGGUUCCCCAUUCCCAUCCCCAUUCCCCCUCCCCAGGUUCUGUUCCGGUUCGGUUCCGGUUCCGGUUCUUCUCCCCAUCCCAUCCCCAUUCCCUCCCGCUGUUCGGUUCCGGUUCGGUUCCGGUUCCGGUUCGGUUCAGUUCCGGUUCGUCUCCCCAUUCCCAUCCCCAUUCCCCCUCCCCAGGUUCUGUUCCGGUUCGGUUCCGCUUCGGUUCCGGUUCCGGUUCGGUUCCGGUUCUGGUUCUGCUCCCCAUCCAUCCCGCCCCAUUCCCUCCCGCUGUUCGGUUCCGGUUCGGUUUCGGUUCCGGUUCGUCUCCCCAUUCCCAUCCCCAUUCCCCUCCCCCGGUUCGGUUCCAGUUCCGGUUCGGUUCCGGUUCUUCUCCCCAUCCCAUCCCCAUUCCCCCUCCCCAGGUUCUGUUCCGGUUCGGUUCCGGUUCCAGUUCGGUUCCGGUUCUUCUCCCCAUCCCAUCCCCAUUCCCUCCCGCGGUUCGGUUUCGUUUCCGGUUCGGUUCCGGUUCGGUUCUGGUUCUUCUCCCCAUCCCAUCCCCAUUUCCAGUCCCGCGGUUCGGUUCCGGUUCCGGUUCUUCUCCCCAUCCCAUCCCCAUUUCCCCUCCCCCGGUUCGGUUCCGGUUCCGGUUCUGGUUCCGAUUCCCUCUCCCCAUCCCAUCCCCAUUCCCCCUCCCGCGGUUCGGUUCUGGUUCCAGUUCCGGUUCCGGUUCGGAUCCCCAUUCCAUCCCCAUUUCCAGACCCGCAGUUCGGUUCCGGUUCCGGUUCGGUUCCGGUUCGGCUCCCCAUUCCCAUCCCCAUUCCAUCCCCAUUUCCCCUCCCCCGGUUCGGUUCUGGUUCCGGUUCGGUUCCCCAUUUCCAGUCCCGCGGUUCUGGUUCCGGUUCCGGUUCUUCUCCCCAUCCCAUCCCCAUUCCCUCCCGCGAUUCGGUUCCGGUUCCGGUUCGGUCCGGUUCCGGUUCUUCUCCCCAUUCCAUCCCCAUUCCCUCCCCCGGUCCUGUUCCGGUUCUGUUCCGGUUCCGGUUCUGUUCCGUUUCCGGUUCUGUUCCGUUUCCGGUUCUGUUCCG